ACCUGGCUCAGGAUGAACGCUAGCGGCAGGCCUAACACAUGCAAGUCGAGGGGUAAGGAGAGCUUGCUCUCCCUAGACCGGCGUACGGGUGCGUAACACGUGUACAAUCUACCUUUUACUAAGGGAUAGCCCGAAGAAAUUUGGAUUAAUACCUUAUAGUAUUAUUUUAUGGCAUCAUUAAAUAAUUAAAGCUACGGUGGUAAAAGAUGAGUACGCGUCCCAUUAGCUAGUUGGAGUGGUAACGGCACACCAAGGCUACGAUGGGUAGGGGUUCUGAGAGGGAUGUCCCCCACACUGGUACUGAGACACGGACCAGACUCCUACGGGAGGCAGCAGUGAGGAAUAUUGGACAAUGGUCGGAAGACUGAUCCAGCCAUGCCGCGUGCAGGAUGACGGCCUUAUGGGUUGUAAACUGCUUUUAUACAGGAAGAAUAAGGUCUACGAGUAGAUUGAUGACGGUACUGUAUGAAUAAGCAUCGGCUAACUCCGUGCCAGCAGCCGCGGUAAUACGGAGGAUGCGAGCGUUAUCCGGAAUCAUUGGGUUUAAAGGGUCCGUAGGCGGGCGUAUAAGUCAGAGGUGAAAGCACUGAGCUCAACUGAGUAACUGCCUUUGAAACUGUAUGUCUGAAUAGUGUGAUGAGUAGCUGGAAUGUGUAGUGUAGCGGUGAAAUGCAUAGAUAUUACACAGAACACCGAUUGCGAAGGCAUGUUACUAACGACCGAUUGACGCUGAUGGACGAAAGCGUGGGGAGCGAACAGGAUUAGAUACCCUGGUAGUCCACGCUGUAAACGAUGGAUACUAGCUGUUUGGUUUUCGGACUGAGUGGCUAAGCGAAAGUGAUAAGUAUCCCACCUGGGGAGUACGCACGCAGUGUGAAACUCAAAGGAAUUGACGGGGGCCCGCACAAGCGGUGGAGCAUGUGGUUUAAUUCGGAUGAUACU
This 942-nucleotide ribosomal RNA is filed under the name Capnocytophaga canis. RNAcentral's name for it is "bacterial SSU rRNA". It matches the Rfam family "Bacterial small subunit ribosomal RNA", at positions 17 to 961 of the family's 1533-position model. The record is from RNAcentral. Lineage: Bacteria; Pseudomonadati; Bacteroidota; Flavobacteriia; Flavobacteriales; Flavobacteriaceae.